GGCUGAAAUUACGCCUUCAUGAAGCUGGAAUUGCUAGUAAUGGCAGGUCAGCAUACUGCCGUGAAUACGUUCCCGGGCCUUGUACACACCGCCCGUCACACCAUGAGAGUUGGGAAUACCCGAAGCCUGUGAGCUAACUUAUAGAGGCAGCAGUCGAAGGUAGAAUCAAUGAUUGGGGUGAAGUCGUAACAAGGUAAC
Molecule: ribosomal RNA, 198 nt
Filed under: uncultured bacterium
Lineage: Bacteria
Description: partial 16S ribosomal RNA
Rfam family: Bacterial small subunit ribosomal RNA
Source: RNAcentral